RNAcentral lists this unclassified non-coding RNA (328 nucleotides) under soil metagenome. RNAcentral's name for it is "partial contains 5.8S ribosomal RNA, internal transcribed spacer 2, and large subunit ribosomal RNA". The stretch from base 1 to 120 matches the Rfam family "5.8S ribosomal RNA", at positions 35 to 154 of the family's 154-position model. The record is from RNAcentral.
GAUGAAGAACGUGGCGAAAUGCGAUAAGUAAUGUGAAUUGCAGAAUUCAGUGAAUCAUCGAAUCUUUGAACGCACAUUGCGCCCCUCGGUAUUCCGAGGGGCAUGCCUGUUCGAGCGUCAUUAUAACCCUUCAAGCUCAGCUUGGUGUUGGGGCCUGCUGUAACUGGUAGCCCUUAAAAUCAGUGGCAGUGCUAUUAGGCUCUAAGCGUAGUAAUUCUUCUCGCUAUAGUGUGUAGUGAGCGCUUGCCAGAACCCCAAACUUUUAUAUGAUUGACCUCGGAUCAGGUAGGGAUACCCGCUGAACUUAAGCAUAUCAAUAAGCGGAGGA